Molecule: ribosomal RNA, 492 nt
Filed under: uncultured bacterium
Lineage: Bacteria
Description: partial 16S ribosomal RNA
Rfam family: Bacterial small subunit ribosomal RNA
Source: RNAcentral
AGUGAACGCUGGCGGUAGGCCUAAUACAUGCAAGUCGAACGGCAGCACAGUAAGAGUUUGCUCUUACGGGUGGCGAGUGGCGGACGGGUGAGGCAUACAUCAGCAUCUACUUUUUCGUGGGGGAUAACGUAGGGCCACUUACGCUACUACCGCAUACGACCUACGGGUGAAAGCAGUGGAUCUUCGCACCUUUCGCGUUUGAUUGAGCCGAUGUCGGAUUAGCUAGUUGGCUGGGUAAAGGCACACCAAGGCGACGAUCCGUAGCUGGUCUGAGAGGAUGAUCAGCCACACUGGAACUGAGACACGGUCCAGACUCCUACGGGAGGCAGCAGUGGGGAAUAUUGGACAAUGGGCGCAAGCCUGAUCCAGCCAUACCGCGUGAGUGAAGAAGGCCUUCGGGUUGUAAAGCCCUGUUGUUGGGAAAGAAAAGCAGCAGGUGAAUACCCCGCUGUUCUGACGGUACCCAAAGAAUAAGCACCGGCUAACUUCGUG